GACGAACGCUGGCGGCGUGCUUAACACAUGCAAGUCGAACGGCAACGCCCUGCUUUCGUGGGGUGCCCGAGUGGCGAACGCGUGCGUAACACGUAUGUAACCUGCCCUAGACUUUGGGAUAACAUAAGGAAACUGGGCUUACUAUCGUAUAGCAGCUCACGCUGCAUGGAAGGGGUUGGAACGUCUAGGCGGGUGUGGAUGGAUUCGCGGCUUAUGAGCUAGUUGGUUGGGUAGUGGCUUACCAAGGCUUUGGCGGGUAGGCGGCCCGUGAGGGGGGCCGGCCACAAUGGGACUGAGAUACGGCGCAGACUGCUACGGGAGGCAGUAGGGGGGAGCAUUGCACAAUGAGCGGAAGCCUGAUGCAGAAACGCCGGGGUCGUGAUGACGGCCUGCGGGGUGAGAACAGCUGUCGCCUGUGACGAAGCGUGAGUGACGGUAAUGGGUAAAGAAGCACCGGCUAACUACGUG
This 468-nucleotide ribosomal RNA is filed under the name uncultured bacterium. RNAcentral describes it as "partial 16S ribosomal RNA". It matches the Rfam family "Bacterial small subunit ribosomal RNA", at positions 28 to 507 of the family's 1533-position model. The record is from RNAcentral.